This 208-nucleotide ribosomal RNA is filed under the name uncultured Pseudomonadota bacterium. RNAcentral describes it as "uncultured proteobacterium partial 16S ribosomal RNA". It matches the Rfam family "Bacterial small subunit ribosomal RNA", at positions 568 to 775 of the family's 1533-position model. The record is from RNAcentral. Lineage: Bacteria; Pseudomonadati; Pseudomonadota.
CACGUAGGCGGAUCGGUAAGUCAGAUGUGAAAUCCCGGAGCUCAACUCCGGAACUGCAUUUGAUACUGCCAGUCUUGAGUGAGGUAGAGGGGGGUGGAAUUCCCGGUGUAGAGGUGAAAUUCGUAGAUAUCGGGAGGAACACCAGAGGCGAAGGCGACCCCCUGGGCCUUUACUGACGCUGAGGUGCGAAAGCGUGGGGAGCAAACAG